This 2493-nucleotide long non-coding RNA is filed under the name Salvia miltiorrhiza (redroot sage). RNAcentral describes it as "long non-coding RNA (SMIL_LNC000627)". Lineage: Eukaryota; Viridiplantae; Streptophyta; Magnoliopsida; Lamiales; Lamiaceae. The record is from RNAcentral.
AAAAACAAUCACACUUCUACACGUUAAUACCUCCACUUCGAUCAGUGUAUGCCGUUCUCAGUUUUAUUUUUAUUUCUUUCGGUCUUGUUUUCAUGAAGAUAAUCUUCUAACUUUUGCAACCCUUUCCUGCAACAACAAUUUGGCAGAAGAACUCCCAAAAUUCAAUUCCUCAAGGUUUUACCUUUCACCUCCUUUACUUGUUUCUUUAUAUUCAACAUCACAGCAGGAUAAAUUCACAAACGAAUAUACACACAUUCAUUAAAGCACCAGUAAAUUCAUCACAUCAUUUUUUUUGUAAAGAUUGUAAAAACGAACUUUUUUAAGUUGUGUAUACAAAUGAAAAUACAAGUUAUUGUAUAUUAAGAAAGCAUGAAAAUUUCGAACUUGAGCUUGGAUUGUUGAAUGUUGAUUAUUGGGGGUGUACUUGCUGUGUGUGAGUCGAGAGGUCGAGGGAGGCAGGGGCACGGCGGCUGUGCCGCUGCUGCUCGGCCACGGUUGGAGAGAAGGAGGUGGGCUGGUCGGAGCUGGUCUGGGUGGAGGGUUGAGCGGAGAACGACGGCGGCGGUGGUGGCAGUUUGGUGGCUGCUACUCGCUGGGAAUUUGAGGGCGGCGAUGGCGGUACCAUCGGCCAAGGUUGAGCCGAGGAGAGGGAGGAGCGUCGGCGGCGGCUCAGCUGCUGCCGAUCAGACCCCAGGAGAGAGAGAGAUGGGAGACGGAGUCACCGGUCGGCGGCGGCUUUUGCUGCUGCAGUCGCCGGAAGGAAAGAGAAUGGAGGGGUCGAGGGUGAUGGUGAGGAUGACAGAGCGGCGCUCGUCGCCGGGGAUGGUGGUACGCAGCCGUGAAGUCCGAGAGAGAGGGAGAAGAGGAGGGGCGUCGAGAGAGGGGCGGCGUGUGUUGGUUUGUGUGUGUGGGGGCAACCUUGAGUGAAAUAAAGUCGAGGGAGUCGGGAGAGGGGUGACCGGCGACGCCUACCGCCGGAGGAGAGAAGAGGGCGAAGGGGGGUGCCUUGCAGCGCAGCUGCUGUGUGCUGUGUGCGUGUGUUUGUUUUGUGUGUGUUCUGAAUGUGUGUGUGCGUGUGAUUAAGAGAGGGAGGAGAAAGGUAAUAGGGUUUGGGGUUUUGGGCCUGGAUUGUUGAGCUUUGGCUAUUGGGCCGGAAAAUGGAGAAGGAAAGAGUGAAUGGGCUUAAGUUGUUGGGUCGAUUUUUAAUUUUAUUUAGCUGGGCCCGAUUUAUUUUAUUCAGUCUGGGCCAUUCCUAUUUUAUUGAGUUGGGCCUCAUCUUUUAAUUGGUAUGGGCUAUUAUUUAUUUAAGCAUGGGCUCUAUUUCAUCUAUUUAAAUGGCUUCCUUUAUUUUAUUUUAAUUAAUAGACUAAUAAUUAGUUUGAUUAAUUUAUUUUAAAGAAGAUUUGCAUAAUAAUAUAUAUUAUUAUUAUGUGCAUAUUUUAAGUAAAUUACUUAUUAUAUGCUUAAGUAUGAAAUGAUGCAUAUGCAUUUGCAUCAUGAUUUAAUUGGUUUUUAUUAUAAUUCCAAUUAUUAAAGAAAGUCGAGUAAGAAUAUUGUUGGUGUUCUUAACUCAAGAGAAUUGUUUUCAAUUAUUUAUUCAUUAAAUUUUGAAAACCCGGCUAAGUGAAUCAUAGAAUAUUAAGCACUACACCAUGACUUAAGAUUAGAUUCAAGAGACCUAUUAAGAAUAGAUUUCUUGUAGGCUUUGAGCAUCAGGAGGAUUAGCACUGCUAUUCCGAUUCAGAUAUAAGGUUAAACGACAGGCUUUGCCUAACAGGUGGGCUUACUUUCCAAAUGUACAAAGUAUGAUUGAGUUAUUAAGCUCUAAAUGUUUCAAUGAAAUGCAAAUUGUUUAUUUAAUGUAAUGAAAACUGUUUAUCCAAUAAAAUGUUUUGUGCACUCUGCUCUGUUUAAGGCUCGCAUAAUGAAUCGAUCGAGGUUCUCUUAUGACCUAACACGUUAUUUGAGAAUUGUGUACACCUAUUAGCUGACUCGGUGGGUUGAUCUCCAUCGGGCACUAAUCAUGUAUGAGGCGUUAUAAGGGUGCUCGACGGGAUGUGUUCCGGAGCAUUGGGUCCCAAAUGGGAACUUGUCUGGGUUACGCCCUCAGUUCAAGUGCAAUGGGAGAAAUGGAUCCGUCGGUGGCUAAAAGGUCCGGGAUCACAGCGAGUAACAGAAAGGGAGUGUGACAUGUGCGCACAAAUGAAAAAUAUUUUAACAUGCUUAGAAGUUCUUUCAUUUUAAAACCUUCUAAGUCAUGUCAAGUAUAAUUGGAUAAACUGUCUUUACGAAAAUAUGAAAUGUUUAUGAAAAUGCAUGCCCACUAAGUACAUUAGUACUUAGCCCAAAAAUACUUUCAAAUGUUUUCAGGUUGGCUGGCUGGUGCUGACGGGACGGAGCUGAGGCUAGAGUUAAAAUUCAUAUGUUAGACUUCCGCUGUAGCAAUUACUCUUAUACAUCUUUUGUUUUCUCAACUUAAGAUGACUUCAUGUC